CCCCCCCCCCCCCACAAAGGUGCGGACUCCGGCCGCAAAACCUGAAACCAAAUGGGGGGGUUAGGGAGGGUGACUGGUGGUGGCUCCGGUGCGGGUCGUAGCCCCAGACCCCGGAUCCAACCAUGGCGUCGGGCUGAACGCCAUGCCUGGAUUGGGCACCGGCGCAGAAGAAGACUCCGGCCAUGGAGCUGGGCUGGCCGCCGUGCCUGGACUGGGCACCGGUGCUGAGGAAGGCUCCUGCCUUGGAGCUGGGCUGGUCGCCGUACCUGGACUGGGCACCGGCGCAGAGGAAGGCUUCGGCCAUGGAGCUAGGCUGGCCGCCGUUAGAUUUACCAAAUGGAGGGCGAGGGAGAGCUUUGUAAGCGUCUCUGUGUGUGGAGUACAGGCUGUGUAACGGGUGUCGUCAUCGGAUAAGGAAUAAUCGGACCAAAGCGCAGCGUGGAGGAUCAGAUGGUGACAGUGGUCUCAGCAGGGUCAAGCAUCCAGGAAAGACCAGUCUGACAGAGCGGAGGUGAAUUGUUGCAGAUACAACACUUCAUUCUCUCUGUGCAGCAAACACUGGACAAGCCAGAUGCUAUUUUAAGGCAGUCUGACAAACGUCGAAAGUUUAUUUCCAAACUGUAUCAAGGGUUGAUAGAGUCUUUUCCCGAUAACACAAAACAUGUAAAAAAAAAAAUGUGAGGAAGACCUGGGAGAAGCUAUUGAUGAUGACGAUGAAUGGAUACAGAUAUGUUUGCCCAGUCAUGUUCAUAUCAUCUCAGACAUAAAUGACUGCAGUUUAAGUCCAUCCAUAGAACAUACUAUUUGCCAUGGAAAUUGAAAUACAUGCGCUCAGAAAUGUAAGUCCUCUGCUGGAGUCGUAAAAAACACAAAAGGGGACAUAUGUUAUGGUCUUGUGAAGUCUGCCUGAAUUCUGGAAAAGAGUAUGCUCUUUUAUCUUGGCAUGUCUACAGAUUCUCCCUUCUCCCUGUUUUCCUUUGCUUGGAAAUAUUGAUACUGGAGACUGUUAUCUUAAGAAACUUUGUAACCAAGCAUUUAUAGUGGCUAAGAAAUGCUUUGCCCUUAUUUGGAAGGUUAAUUAUACUCCCACAAUGUCAAGUUAUGUAUCAUUAGAUUUGAUUUAUUACAAGAUUAAGAGUAUACUGGGCUACUUUCAUAAGGUCUGGAUUCCUUAUAUGGAAUACAGUAGGAAUAAAGGAGUCUGUAUUGAAAACAUGCACACGUCACGGAAGACACCUAUUUAGGCAAUCCCUAGCUGCUGGGCUGGCCCUGGGAGGUCUGCUGUCCUGUGGGUUGUAUCUCUGGCCUUGGCCUAACACACCCUAAACCAAUACAUGAAUGUUUCACUAAGAUCCUACAGCUAAGUGGGGUGUGUUGGGGUGGGGUGCUGCAGGGCAGUGGACCCCUAGGGGCAGGAUUGGGCAACCCAGCUAUAUUGUGGGAAAGUAAAAAGAGCAAUAAGAGCGUGUCAUCAGCCCGGUGAAACCUGUGCCGGCUCCACGCACCAGGCCUC
This is a long non-coding RNA of Salvelinus fontinalis (brook trout), 1513 nucleotides long. RefSeq lists it as uncharacterized. Lineage: Eukaryota; Metazoa; Chordata; Actinopteri; Salmoniformes; Salmonidae. The record is from RefSeq and is a predicted model, not a curated record. The transcript has 3 exons.